Molecule: long non-coding RNA, 1497 nt
Organism: Talpa occidentalis (Iberian mole)
Lineage: Eukaryota; Metazoa; Chordata; Mammalia; Eulipotyphla; Talpidae
Exons: 11
Source: RefSeq, a predicted model, not a curated record
CAAAUGAAAAAUCCAGGAUUGUCAAGCAACUCAUAAAUGCAUAUUAAAUUACUGCCCUGGGAUGAAUGUAAGAUGAGCCUGAAGAAACUAAAGACCUGAUGGGUCAGCCUUAACUCUCAUCUACUUGGGAAACCAUCCCUGCAGUGACCAAACAUUAAUUCUUCUUAAUGGUUUGCUGAAUUCAUUGUGGGCUAAAGCAUGGCAUGGUCAUGGUCAAAUGAGGACAAUAUUCAUGAUCAUGGUAAAGAAAAAAAACCUUGUUGCCUUGAUGACCUUCUGGAGCAAGCUUCUGCCUAAACUGGACUGCCUCCUACCUCUGGUCUACUUAAUAAGAAAGAAGUGACAUUAUCAUGUUCGAGAUUCUGUAACUGAGAGGUUCUUUUUGUCAUGGCAGCUUAUCCUAUGACCUCAAUAAUGAAGUUUUAAGAGGCAGAAGCUUUUCAAACGCUUUCCUAAUGGCAAUUGAAGUACUGGCUACUGUGGUAACAAUCGAGGCUGGGAGAAUGAAGACCUUCUGGAAUACGGCAUUCCCAAGCAGAGGGUCAUGUGGAUCACAAGGGCAUCAGAUGAAGGAGCCACAGCCCCAGUCACAGUGAUAUGAACCUGGAGCUAAGCCAAAAACCUUUUCUAUGCUUACUUCCCAGGCAGAAAUAGUUUGUGAUAUGAUUAACAUCAAGCUCUGUAUAAGUUUAAGCCACGCUCUACCUUUUGCUUAUUGAAAAAUAAGAAAGACCCAUAAGGAAGAGAAACUAUGGGCUGCUUCAUCUUUCCCACUCCUCCAUGUCAUCAUUCCCAAUAUAAAAUGACUGAUAUGGAACAGAAACAUGGGAAGCAUCUACACUUAUCCUCACUGACUACAAACCUACUGAACCAAGCCCGACCAAGGUGCUACUGUAGGAAGUUCUACCUGACUGCUUCCACUCCGGGUCUUUCAAACAAAGAAAGCAGCUUCUAGACAAGGUCAUCUGUAGGGCACAGUCCAUGACUUCCACCUGGGAUCACAGUUCUAGAAUUCAAUUUCUAGGCUUCUAGAAGAAGGAAAAGAUAGGAGGAAAAAUGUUACAUCCUGCUAAAGUGAACUGUAAGCAACAGAAAUACAACUAAACAUAGUGACACUGAAGAGCAAGUGGAAGCGGGGGAGACCUUUGUAUUAACACAAUGUAAGUGUGGAAAUGUUUCCAUAUGUUACAAGUUGGUUUCACCAUUUCACUGAGGGAAAUAAAUAAAACAAAUGAAUCCUGUGGCCAACAUGAACAUAAACAUCAAGUUACAAACCACAGACUUACUGGGCAACUGACUGCUGCAAAUCAAGACGAGAUUGUAUAGAGAGUUCAGGAAGAAGAUAGUGAGGCACCCUGCUCUCAGAUGGGUUCCAUGACUCCAUGGAAAAGAACAGAUGGGGGAAGACGCAGGACAUUAGCAGAGGCUUCAAGCAACAAGCAGACCCUGAACUGGUCAUAGAAGGUGCCCUGUAGUUCUUAAAUAGUAAAAGCCAUA